UUUUCCUGUCCUGCUAGUUGUUUGGCAUAGGGUGUCCAGCUCUGUAGCUUGCUGGUCAUUGAGUGGAUCUGGGUUUUGACUUUGAGAUGGAGAUCUCUGGGAGGUUUUUGCCAUUUGAUAUUUCAUUGCACUGAGAGGUCUCUUGUGGACCAGUGUCCUGAAGUUGGCUCUCUCACCUCAGAGGCACAGCACUGACUCCUGGCUGCAGCACCAAGAGCCUUCCAUCCACACAGCUGAGAAUAAAAGGGAGAAAAAGUGGAAAGAAAGAAAGAAGGAAAGAGGACAAUAGAAAAUAAAAUAAAUCAAGGUAAAAUAAAAUAAAGUUAUUAAAAUAAAAAAUAAUUAUAAGAAUAAAUUUUUGAGAAAGUAGAAAAAACAAACAAAAA
This is a long non-coding RNA of Orcinus orca (killer whale), 386 nucleotides long. RefSeq lists it as uncharacterized. NCBI's taxonomy places the organism in Eukaryota, Metazoa, Chordata, Mammalia, Artiodactyla, Delphinidae. The transcript is spliced from 2 exons. The record is from RefSeq and is a predicted model, not a curated record.